This 468-nucleotide ribosomal RNA is filed under the name uncultured bacterium. Its description in RNAcentral is "partial 16S ribosomal RNA". It matches the Rfam family "Bacterial small subunit ribosomal RNA", at positions 28 to 507 of the family's 1533-position model. The record is from RNAcentral.
GACGAACGCUGGCGGCGUGCUUAACACAUGCAAGUCGAACGGAAAGGCCCUGCUUUUGUGGGGUGCUCGAGUGGCGAACGGGUGAGUAACACGGGAGUAACCUGCCCUUGACUUUGGGAUAACUGCAGGAAACUGGGGCUAAUACCGGAUAGGAGCUCCUGCUGCAUGGUGGGGGUUGGAAAGUUUCGGCGGUUGGGGAUGGACUCGCGGCUUAUCAGCUUGUUGGUGGGGUAGUGGCUUACCAAGGCUUUGACGGGUAGCCGGCCUGAGAGGGUGACCGGCCACAUUGCGACUGAGACACGGCCCAGACUCCUACGGGAGGCAGCAGUGGGGAAUAUUGCACAAUGGGCGGAAGCCUGAUGCAGCAACGCCGCGUGCGGGAUGACGGCCUUCGGGUUGUAAACCGCUUUCGCCUGUGACGAAGCGUGAGUGACGGUAAUGGGUAAAGAAGCACCGGCUAACUACGUG